RNAcentral lists this transfer RNA (75 nucleotides) under Chloroflexi bacterium RBG_16_63_12. Its description in RNAcentral is "tRNA-Met". It matches the Rfam family "tRNA". From Rfam's summary of the family: Transfer RNA (tRNA) molecules are approximately 80 nucleotides in length. The record is from RNAcentral. Lineage: Bacteria; Bacillati; Chloroflexota.
GGCGAGGUAGCUCAAUGGCAGAGCAGGGGACUCAUAAGCCCUUGGUUGAUGGUUCAAAUCCAUUCCUCGCCACCU